RNAcentral lists this ribosomal RNA (239 nucleotides) under uncultured bacterium. RNAcentral's name for it is "partial 16S ribosomal RNA". It matches the Rfam family "Bacterial small subunit ribosomal RNA", at positions 95 to 334 of the family's 1533-position model. The record is from RNAcentral.
CCGGCGCACGGGUGAGUAACACGUAUCCAACCUGCCGUCUACUCUUGGACAGCCUUCUGAAAGGAAGAUUAAUACAAGAUGGCAUCGUGAGUUCACAUGUUCACAUGAUUAAAGGUAUUCCGGUAGACGAUGGGGAUGCGUUCCAUUAGAUAGUAGGCGGGGUAACGGCCCACCUAGUCUUCGAUGGAUAGGGGUUCUGAGAGGAAGGUCCCCCACAUUGGAACUGAGACACGGUCCAA